GAUUUUUUAGUAGAAUAGCUUAAUUUUGUUAUUAAAUAAGAGAACAAAUUUUCAAACAAUAAGACAAAUAUAGAAAAGUACACAAAAAAUGAAAUAUUCCCCAAUCCUAAUUAAAAGAAACCCAACCAAAAUAAAUGAGUUCUAAAGUUCCUUUCGAAGCAUAGAAAGCAAUGAAAAUAGCAGUUUGUCUGAAUCAUCAUCGUCCCUUAAGAUUAAGCAGAUUUUAGGGACUAUCUUCAAGCAACCAACGAAAUCACAGUAUAAUCUAGCACGUCUGUCAACCAUCGGUCUCUCUGCACUGCAUCAGUAACAAACAGAGGCAUUUCUUCUAACUAAUAAGUUGUUUCUCCUCUCCUUAUUCCUUCUGUAGCUAAGAGAUGUGCUACUCCGUUCCCCUGUCUCGGUGCAUGUCUGAAAAUACAUCUUCGAUAAUUCUCAUUAAGUGAUCUCAAAUCCAUAGUAUAUAUGCACUAAAUUCAUAUCUCUUACCCAUUUGCAUGAAGCUUUUUCACCACUUUGAGUGCAUCACCUUCAAUCUCCACCUUCGGGAAACCCAAAUCAAGACCCAUUUGAACUGCUUGGAAGCAUGCAAGAGCCUCACAGCAAAAGUCGC
This 613-nucleotide long non-coding RNA is filed under the name Gossypium barbadense (sea-island cotton). Its description in RNAcentral is "long non-coding RNA (GBAR_LNC004479)". Lineage: Eukaryota; Viridiplantae; Streptophyta; Magnoliopsida; Malvales; Malvaceae. The record is from RNAcentral.